CUCCGGGUUGAUCCUGCCGGACCUGACUGCUAUCGGAUUGGUACUAAGCCAUGCGAGUCAUUGUAGCAAUACGAGGCGGACGGCUCAGUAACACGUAGUCAACCUAACUCGUGGACGUGGAUAACCUCGGGAAACUGAGAAUAAACCACGAUAGAUCAUAGUGCCUGGAAUGGCUUAUGGUCCAAACAGUUUACUGCCAUGGGAUGGGACUGCGGCCUAUCAGCUUGUUGGUGAGGUAAUGGCCCACCAAGGCGAUUACAGGUACGGGCUCUGAGAGGAGAAGCCCGGAGAUGGGUACUGAGACACGGACCCAGGCCCUAUGGGGCGCAGCAGGCGAGAAACCUUAGCAAUGUGCGAAAGCACGACUGGGUCAGUCCGAGUGAUUCCUGAUAAAGGAGUCUUUUGCUUGUCCUAAAAGCACAGGUGAAUAAGGGGUGGGCAAGUCUGGUGUCAGCCGCCGCGGUAAUACCAGCACCUCGAGUGGUCAGGACGUUUAUUGGGCCUAAAGCAUCCGUAGCCGGCUCUGCAAGUCUUCGGUUAAAUCCACCUGCUCAACAGAUGGGCUGCUGGAGAUACUACAGAGCUAGGGAGUGGGAGAGGCAGACGGUAUUCAGUGGGUAGGGGUAAAAUCCUCUGAUCCAUUGAGGACCACCAGUGGCGAAGGCGGUCUGCCAGAACACGUUCGACGGUGAGGGAUGAAAGCUGGGGGAGCAAACCGGAUUAGAUACCCGGGUAGUCCCAGCUGUAAACGAUGCAAACUCGGUGAUGCAUUGGCUUAUGGCCAAUGCAGUGCCGCAGGGAAGCCGUUAAGUUUGCCGCCUGGGAAGUACGGACGCAAGUCUGAAACUUAAAGGAAUUGGCGGGGGAGCA
Molecule: ribosomal RNA, 870 nt
Filed under: uncultured archaeon
Lineage: Archaea
Description: bacterial SSU rRNA
Rfam family: Archaeal small subunit ribosomal RNA
Source: RNAcentral